CGCAGAACAAAAACGCAAUGCACAUCAAUAAUGUGUUAGAGCUGGUAGGUAGCCCAGCCGUCUGAAAACGCUUCAGGUAAGUAACCUUCCCCUCCGGGUUGUCCCUUUCUGCGAAAUA
This 118-nucleotide non-coding RNA is filed under the name pig gut metagenome. RNAcentral describes it as "yjdF RNA". It matches the Rfam family "azaaromatic riboswitch aptamer (yjdF RNA)". The record is from RNAcentral.